Molecule: non-coding RNA, 289 nt
Organism: Danio rerio (zebrafish)
Lineage: Eukaryota; Metazoa; Chordata; Actinopteri; Cypriniformes; Danionidae
Source: RefSeq, a predicted model, not a curated record
AAACAAGCGUCUUAUCAGCCUGACCGACACGAGUCUCGGUGAGAUUUGAGUGUUAAAGCAUGUGUGGAAGCUGCGUGAAGUCUGGAAGGGCAACCAUAGAAAAGGACCCUCCACAUCACAAGCUACCAUGAUUCAGGAAACAUCUGAAAAACAAAUCUCUUAUAAACCAACAUCCAGCAUGCUGUAGAGCUGAACAGUGCAGUGGCUCACUUUAGAUCCAGAAAAGAGAGAUAUCUAAAGAUGCCUUUUCAAGUUGAAAAGAAAAAAAAUCUGUGUUUUUAAAUGCUUA